AAAGUACUCCCUCUGUCCGAAAAUACUUGUCGCGGAAAUGAAUAAAAAUGAAUGUAUCUAGAGCUAAAAUACAUCUAGAUACAUCCAUUAUUAACCAUUCCUUUGAUAAGUAUUUCUGGACGGAAGGAGUAGUAU
This is a non-coding RNA of Hordeum vulgare subsp. vulgare (domesticated barley), 135 nucleotides long. The record is from Rfam. NCBI's taxonomy places the organism in Eukaryota, Viridiplantae, Streptophyta, Magnoliopsida, Poales, Poaceae.